CCCUUAGAUGUUCUGGGCCGCACGCGCGCUACACUGACGAAUGCAACGAGCUUAUAACCUUGGCCGAAAGGUCUGGGUAAUCUCCAAAUUUCGUCGUGAUGGGGAUAGAUUAUUGCAAUUAUUGAUCUUGAACGAGGAAUUCCUAGUAAACGCGAGUCAUCAGCUCGCAUUGAUUACGUCCCUGCCCUUUGUACACACCGCCCGUCGCACCUACCGAUUGAAUGUUUCGGUGAAGAUUCCGGAUAGGACUUUUUUGAUUUAUUUCAAUUUUGUCUUAAAAGCUAUCUAAACCUCAACAUUUAGAGGAAGGUGAAGUCGUANCA
RNAcentral lists this ribosomal RNA (323 nucleotides) under uncultured eukaryote. RNAcentral's name for it is "partial 18S ribosomal RNA". It matches the Rfam family "Eukaryotic small subunit ribosomal RNA", at positions 1470 to 1796 of the family's 1831-position model. The record is from RNAcentral.